This 253-nucleotide ribosomal RNA is filed under the name uncultured bacterium. RNAcentral's name for it is "partial 16S ribosomal RNA". It matches the Rfam family "Bacterial small subunit ribosomal RNA", at positions 524 to 776 of the family's 1533-position model. The record is from RNAcentral.
UACGUAGGGGGCGAGCGUUGCUCGGAAUGACUGGGCGUAAAGGGCGCGUAGGCGGAUGGCUUUGUCGGGCGUGAAAUUCCAGGGCUUAACCUUGGGGCUGCGUUCGAGACGGGUUGUCUUGAGUGGGGAAGAGGGUCGUGGAAUUCCCAGUGUAGAGGUGAAAUUCGUAGAUAUUGGGAAGAACACCGGUGGCGAAGGCGGCGACCUGGUCCUUUACUGACGCUGAGGCGCGAAAGCGUGGGGAGCAAACAGG